This 376-nucleotide ribosomal RNA is filed under the name uncultured bacterium. RNAcentral describes it as "bacterial SSU rRNA". It matches the Rfam family "Bacterial small subunit ribosomal RNA", at positions 28 to 405 of the family's 1533-position model. The record is from RNAcentral.
GACGAACGCUGGCGGCGUGCUUAACACAUGCAAGUCGAGCGGUAAGGCCCUUUCGGGGGUACACGAGCGGCGAACGGGUGAGUAACACGUGGGUGACCUGCCCUCAGCUCUGGGAUAAGCCUGGGAAACCGGGUCUAAUACUGGAUAUGACUCCAUGACGCAUGUUGUGGGGUGGAAAGCCUUGUGCGGCUGAGGAUGGGCCCGCGGCCUAUCAGCUUGUUGGUGGGGUGANGGCCUACCAAGGCGACGACGGGUAGCCGGCCUGAGAGGGCGACCGGCCACACUGGGACUGAGACACGGCCCAGACUCCUACGGGAGGCAGCAGUGGGGAAUCUUGCGCAAUGGGCGAAAGCCUGACGCAGCGACGCCGCGUGGA